Molecule: long non-coding RNA, 392 nt
Filed under: Triticum aestivum (bread wheat)
Lineage: Eukaryota; Viridiplantae; Streptophyta; Magnoliopsida; Poales; Poaceae
Description: long non-coding RNA (TAES_LNC005218)
Source: RNAcentral
GGCGGUUAGCUUUUGGGUUUCUUCUACUCCUCCGACCUGGGCUCUGUAGUCUGCAAUUAUUUGGGGGUUAUCUGUAGCUACUAGUUUGCUUGAACUGAAUAAGGAGUUGACUGAGCCGGCCAUUUCAGUUAGCUCAAACCGAAGAAAAAAAGGUGUGUUACUUGUCUAUUUGGAUACUUGGGUAGCCACUGAAUUUUACUGUUGAGGUCUAAUAUGUGUCAGGGCAUCUAAACUGCAGCAUUUACUGACGUGAUGUGUAUAGGUUACAAGGAUGCGUGUAUGUGUACUUGGAUGUUCAGUUCUUACUUGCAAAUAAUGUUGUGUCAAGAGUCAACACAUCCCUGUCCGGUUUAUUAUUUUGGGGAUCCAGUGAUUUUUUUUCCUGUUAGCAG